This is a non-coding RNA of Oryza glumipatula, 195 nucleotides long. The record is from Rfam. NCBI's taxonomy places the organism in Eukaryota, Viridiplantae, Streptophyta, Magnoliopsida, Poales, Poaceae.
AAUAAGUGCAGUUUUGCACUGUUUAUAUCCAACGUUUGACCGUUUAUCUUAUUUGAAAAUUUUGUAUGAUUACUACUUUUAUUGUUAUUAAAUGAUAAAACAUGAAUAAUACUUUAUGUGUGACUAUUUUUUUAAAAUUUUCAAAUAAGAUGGACGAUCAAACGUUGGACACAGAUUACCAUGGCUACACUUAUU